Ficedula albicollis (Collared flycatcher) is the source of this 2053-nucleotide long non-coding RNA. RefSeq lists it as uncharacterized. The transcript is spliced from 3 exons. Lineage: Eukaryota; Metazoa; Chordata; Aves; Passeriformes; Muscicapidae. The record is from RefSeq and is a predicted model, not a curated record.
CUAAAACACCCACAUUUUCACAGAAGUUGCAAAGACUUGAACUCGGACACACUUUCUGUUUCUCCCCAGGUGUGAUGCUUAAUGAGAAUGGUUUUACUAGAGCUGGUCACCCACACUCUCAGAUAAAGAGGUGGAGGUAUUCCAGCCUCUACAGGGGUAAUAAUCUCUGUUUCAUAUGCUAGCACAAGAAGGAGGGCAGGAAGCACGAGCAGGAAAUUUCACAGUUUCAUUUCAAACUAAUGCGUUUAAACAGAAAAUUAUAAAUACUAAAUAAUUUAGAAGUGUGCUAUCCAAGGACAAAGAGCCCCAGAUGCUCUGAAGGGUUAAUCUAGAGGGGAGAGAGGGAAGGCCUGUGUAGCUUCACUGUGCUAAUGGUGUGGGGAAAGAACUUCUGAGAUGCCUGCUCAAUUUGUCAGGAUUUUAUCUUCUGAACUAUUACCUCCAGCUUUCCCCAGAACACCCUCCCCAGCCCUUUUAUCUGCCAGCUAUCUUCAAGUUAACUGUCUGCCUAUUGCCUUGGCUGAACCACACUAAUAGUCAGCUAAUUACACAUGAACACUCUAAUUUGCUUUGUCUUUCUCAAAAAACUCACGCGUGUGCAGGCAUGCACGUGUGUGCACUUCUGCUCCUGCCAUGAAACUGCUCCAGCUGAACCAGGAUAAAAUUUGAUGCAUUUGUUUUCUGCCCCUUCUGAUGCUUCCCCCCACCAGGCCACCACCAACGCUUGUCAUUCCUGAUUUGCAGCAUCACCUGUUGCUCCAACACCAGGCUCCUGUAGAGCAGAAACUGGAGCAAAGAAGAGAAAUACGUGUUUGUCAUUGAACUGAGCUGAGAAGAAGGAAGAGGAGAAUGAUAAGAUCAUAGCCUGCAGCACUUUGUUUAUGAGAACAUCCUUCCAGUGAUAUAUGUCUGCACCAGGUGAAAGAGCUUUGGCUGUGUGUGUCCCGUGGGAAUGAAGGCAACCGUGACACCGCGGAGUUGCACGUCUUUGAGGAAGACUAAGGUCAGAGCCACUCCAUGACCCAUCCAGGACAGCAUCAGUAACUUUACAAGAGAGAGGAAAAGGAGCUUCUGACUGCCUGAAAAAACCUUCGAGGAGACUACUGGAAAAAUCUGUGGCUGUGCUUUGACUGGUCCAGGUGGACAAAGGAAUAUUGCCUUAAAUUAGAGAUAUAUGGCUGCCUCUUUUGUUUACAUUUCUCACUGCUUUUUGUCAUCAGAAGAUGAGAUUGCUUACAGACACAAGGCUCUUCUGAAGUGCUUUCAGGCUGCUUUGGAAACUUGGAAAGCAACCCUCAUCCAGCAGUGCUGGGCAGUCACUGGAAGAUGUCCAGGGAUGCAGAGAACUCCGCUGGCUUUUGUGCCAGGCUGGAAUCACUGGUGAUGGGGCAGAGAAGGACAGAUCAGCUUUACACCUGGCUAGUUUCUCUCACCAAAGUGAUCUAACUCAGCAUUCUCAAGCCAGUGAAAGCUGAGGGUGAUGCUGCUCAAAUCUCCUCCUUGUGUGUCCUUUGGAGCCCGGGCUGUGCUCACCCAGGAGAAGAAGGUUGCUAUCACAUGGCUUUAUGGAGUGUUCCAAGUUGAUAUAUAACACAUGGCUUAGACAAAAUUAGUUUUCUCCCAGUGUCUGAUGACCACCAAUUCAUGAACAUGACACUGAAAUGUACUUUUUGUGCUUCCCAGACACAGCUCCUCAGCUGUAGCUCAAGACUGGACUUAACAGCACAAUACUUCAGUGUUCUGGCCAAUUACCACGUUGCCUUAUAAAGGAAGGAUUCCCACUAGAUUAUCCACAUAGAGAAAGUGAUACUAAAGUGACAAGCCACCAAGAGGUCAAAUAACCAGUUGCCAGAAGUUAAAAUAACUAGACUGUGGAGCAGCAAUAUCUGAGGAGCUGGCAUGUGUCCCAGGACUGGUUGUCACACAAAUGAAAGAAAAGACAGCUGGAAUCUUUUUGGGUUGACUGUUAUUUUCUGUGAAUAUAAUGUAAAUCUACCACUCUGGUUUUUCAACCAGAUGCCUGAACUGGGAGUUGAGAAACCAAUUCAGUAAA